AAAUGAGCUGGAACUCUGUAUCCAAUUCAAAGCCCACUUGGCCUUUUGUGAGACACAAGGAAUGCUGUCAAUUGCAUUAAAAAGUUUAUUUUUCUGCCUUGGGUCCUUGAUAAAAGCGUCCAGAAGCAAGCUGUACAUCUCCGAGUGAAUAUUUUCCAUUGCAAUUUGAAAACCAUAAAAUGCGCGUGCCUCUUGAAUUUGCACAUCGUUCAGAAAUCUAGCAGCCAAAUUUUCCAAAACAAUUCCAUCUGAUGCGGCAAAAAAUGCCAAAACAUGACUGAUGAAGUGCUUUUCAGAUUCAGAU
Molecule: unclassified non-coding RNA, 304 nt
Filed under: Hevea brasiliensis (rubber tree)
Lineage: Eukaryota; Viridiplantae; Streptophyta; Magnoliopsida; Malpighiales; Euphorbiaceae
Source: RNAcentral